Molecule: ribosomal RNA, 1377 nt
Filed under: Alexandrium minutum
Lineage: Eukaryota; Dinophyceae; Gonyaulacales; Pyrocystaceae
Description: LSU rRNA
Rfam family: Eukaryotic large subunit ribosomal RNA
Source: RNAcentral
AAUGGGAUUCCUUAAGUAAUUGCGAAUGAACAAGGAAAUGCUCAGCUUGAAAAAUGGGGCCUUUGGCUUUGAAUUGUAAUUUUGAAAUGUAUUGCCAAUGGAGGCGCAGGUGCAAGCCUAUUGAAAGAAAGCGUCAAUGAGGGUGAGAUUCCUUUUUGUCAUUUGCAGUCCUCCGUGCACGGUAUAUAUUUGACGAGUCACACUCCUCGGCAUUGGAAUGCAAAGUGGGUGGUAAAUUCCAUGUAAAGGUAAAUAUAUUAUUGAGACUGAUAGCAAACAAGUACCAUGAGGGAAAUAUGAAAAGGACUUUGAAAAGAGAAUUAAAAGAGUCUGCAUUUGCUGAACAGAAAGCAAACAGAAUUGAUUUUACUUGGUGAGAUUGUUGUGCUUACUCUAUCAUUUAUAUGGUUGAUGUGGGUGCGAUGGUUCUUACCUUGAAUGUCAGCUUCUAUUUCUGCAAAUCAUUACCCUUGCACAUGAAUGGUAACUUGCCUGCGGGUAUUGGAAUGCAUGUGUUUGCAAUGAUUUGUGAUUUGACGCAUGUGUUUGGUGAAAUUUGUAUAUGCUCUUUUGUCGAAGGGGAAAGCUUACUUUUUUGAGCAUUGCAAGCCCUUACACAUCAGUGCUGGCAAAAUGUUUCUGCUUGACCCGUCUUGAAACACGGACCAAGGAGUCUAACAGAUGUGCAAGUUCGUGGGUGGCAAACCUUUUUGCGCAAUGAAAGUAUUGGCUGGGAUACUUGCACCAGCAGCCGACCAAUUAGCAGACAGAGGUUUGAGUUUGAGCAUAUCUAUUAGGACCCGAAAGAUGGUGAACUAUGCCUGAACAGAAUGAAUUCAGAGGAAACUCUGAUGGAGGUUCGUAUCGAUACUGACGUGCAAAUCGUUCGUCAUACUUGGGUAUAGGGGCGAAAGACUAAUCGAACCAUNUAGUAGCUGGUUCCCUCCGAAGUUUCCCUCAGGAUAGCUGGAGUUGCACAGUUUUAUCNGGUAAAGCGAAUGAUUAGAGGAAUUGGGGACACGCUGUCCUUGACCUAUUCUCAAACUUUAAAUGGGUAAGAUGCAAUGGUUGCUUUAUUGAACUUUUGGAAUAAAUGGCAAUAUCAGGUGGGCCAUUUUUGGUAAGCAGAACUGGCGAUGAGGGAUGAACCUAACGUUGGGUUAAGGUGCUUAAUUGCUUGCUCAUUAGAUACCAGAAAGGGUGUUGGUUCAUUUUAACAGCAGGACGGUGGUCAUGGAAGUCGAAAUCCGCUAAGGAGUGUGUAACAACUCACCUGCCGAAUGGACUAGCCCCGAAAAUGGAUGGCGCUCAAGCGGGUGACCGAUACCCAACCACUGUUGCAAAUAGUGUCAGUGUGUAGGAGGGCAUGGCGGUUUG